Molecule: ribosomal RNA, 256 nt
Filed under: uncultured bacterium
Lineage: Bacteria
Description: partial 16S ribosomal RNA
Rfam family: Bacterial small subunit ribosomal RNA
Source: RNAcentral
UACGUAGGGGGGCAAGCGUUGUCCGGAAUCAUUGGGCGUAAAGAGCGCGUAGGCGGUCCGGUAAGUCGGUUGUGAAAAACUGGGGGGCUCAGCCCUCAGAGGCCGACCGAUACUGUCGGGCUAGAGUCCGGAAGAGGCGAGUGGAAUUCCUGGUGUAGCGGUGAAAUGCGUAGAUAUAGGAAGGAACACCAGUGGCGAAGGCGACCACCUGGACUGAUACUGACACUGAGGUGCGAAAGCGUGGGGAGCAAACAGG